GUUAGUUGGUGAGGUAACGGCUCACCAAGACCGCGAUCGGUAGCCGGACUGAGAGGUUGAACGGCCACAUUGGGACUGAGACACGGCCCAGACUCCUACGGGAGGCAGCAUG
This 112-nucleotide ribosomal RNA is filed under the name uncultured bacterium. RNAcentral's name for it is "partial 16S ribosomal RNA". It matches the Rfam family "Bacterial small subunit ribosomal RNA", at positions 244 to 353 of the family's 1533-position model. The record is from RNAcentral.